This 557-nucleotide ribosomal RNA is filed under the name uncultured bacterium. RNAcentral describes it as "partial 16S ribosomal RNA". It matches the Rfam family "Bacterial small subunit ribosomal RNA", at positions 355 to 900 of the family's 1533-position model. The record is from RNAcentral.
UAGGGAAUCUUCCACAAUGGACGCAAGUCUGAUGGAGCAACGCCGCGUGAGUGAAGAAGGUUUUCGGACCGUAAAGCUCUGUUGUUGGUGAAGAAGGAUAGAGGUAGUAACUGGCCUUUAUUUGACGGUAAUCAACCAGAAAGUCACGGCUAACUACGUGCCAGCAGCCGCGGUAAUACGUAGGUGGCAAGCGUUGUCCGGAUUUAUUGGGCGUAAAAGCGAGCGCAGGCGGAAGAAUAAGUCUGAUGUGAAAGCCCUCGGCUUAACCGAGGAAUUGCAUCGGAAACUGUUUUCUUGAGUGCAGAAGAGGAGAGUAGAACUCCAUGUGUAGCGGUGGAAUGCGUAGAUAUAUGGAAGAAUACCAGUGGCGAAGGCGGCUCUCUGGUCUGCAAACUGACGCUGAGGCUCGAAAAGCAUGGGUAGCGAACAGGAUUAGAUACCCUGGUAGUCCAUGCCGUAAAACGAUGAGUGCUAAGUGUUGGGAGGCUUCCGCCUCUCAGUGCUGCAGCUAACGCAUUAAGCACUCCGCCUGGGGAGUACGACCGCAAGGUUGAAAC